This is a long non-coding RNA of Meriones unguiculatus (Mongolian gerbil), 560 nucleotides long. RefSeq lists it as uncharacterized. Lineage: Eukaryota; Metazoa; Chordata; Mammalia; Rodentia; Muridae. The record is from RefSeq and is a predicted model, not a curated record. The transcript has 3 exons.
CUCGUCAUAAGCCACGCAGGGCGGUUUCUUGGCCGCGAACUUCUCCAUCACGAUGGACUUGUCCAGCUUCCAGAGGGGCCGGUAGCGCUUCCACUUCUGCAGGAAUGUGGUUAAAACCUUCCAGUGUGCCAGGACCAGCCAGCAAGAGGCCAGCCUGGUCUACAAAGUGUGGGAUGGGGGACUGAUCCAGAUGGUCCACGGCAGCAGACCAUUUGCCUCGUGCAGGCUCUGGGAGGAGCUCUUUGCCAGCUGCAGUAGCUUGAAUCUGAGGACUCUGGAGAGAGAAUAAACGCCAGAGCCCAGGGAGUGGAGGAGAAAGAACAAGGCUGCUCGCUGCUCCUGUUUGCUGUUGUGAAACAAGAAGAUGGAGAUCUCCUGACUGAACUGCCUCCAAAAAAGCUGGCAACCCUGGCCAGCAGGAAGCAGCUAAGAGAACUGUGCCCCCUCUCCCACAAACCCUUUCUCUCCUACCUGACGUUGGAAGAGACUGGAGUAGAGUAGGGAGAAAAGGACACAAGAAAUGUAAAUAAAGAGGUUUUUUUUUUUUAAGUUUGCCAACA